AUUGAACGCUGGCGGCAUGCUUUACACAUGCAAGUCGAACGGCAGCACGGGUGCUUGCACCUGGUGGCGAGUGGCGAACGGGAGAGUAAUACAUCGGAACGUACCUGAUAGUGGGGGAUAACGCUUCGAAAGGAGUGCUAAUACCGCAUAAGCCCCGAGGGGGAAAGGGGGGGACCAGCAAUGGCCUCACGCUAACAGAGCGGCCGAUGGCUGAUUAGCUAGUUGGUGAGGUAGAGGCUCACCAAGGCGACGAUCAGUAGCGGGUCUUAGAGGACGAUCCGCCACACUGGAACUGAGACACGGUCCAGACUCCUACGGGAGGCAGCAGUGGGGAAUCUUGGACAAUGGGCGCAAGCCUGAUCCAGCAAUGCCGCGUGGGUGAAGAAGGCCUUCGGGUUGUAAAGCCCUUUUGUUUGGGAGCAAAGCUUACCUAAUAACCCUAGGUGUGGAUGAGGGUACCAAAAGAAUCAGCACCGGCUAACUACGUGCCAGCAGCCGCCGUAA
RNAcentral lists this ribosomal RNA (504 nucleotides) under uncultured bacterium. RNAcentral describes it as "partial 16S ribosomal RNA". It matches the Rfam family "Bacterial small subunit ribosomal RNA", at positions 29 to 523 of the family's 1533-position model. The record is from RNAcentral.